RNAcentral lists this ribosomal RNA (332 nucleotides) under uncultured Planctomycetia bacterium. RNAcentral's name for it is "bacterial SSU rRNA". It matches the Rfam family "Bacterial small subunit ribosomal RNA", at positions 568 to 898 of the family's 1533-position model. Lineage: Bacteria; Pseudomonadati; Planctomycetota; Planctomycetia. The record is from RNAcentral.
UGUGUAGGCGGAUUUGUAAGUACCUUGUGAAAUCCCACGGCUUAACCGUGGAACUGCUUGGUAUACUGCUUAUCUUGGGCCACUUAGGGGUUACCGGAACAAACGGUGGAGCGGUGAAAUGCGUAGAUAUCGUUUGGAACGCCAAUGGUGAAAACAGGUAACUGGGAGUGUGCCGACGCUGAGACACGAAAGCCAGGGGAGCGAACGGGAUUAGAUACCCCGGUAGUCCUGGCUGUAAACGAUGUCGACUAGAUCGUGGUGGCUCUGACGCUAUCACGGUCGAAGCAAAAGUGCUAAGUCGACCGCCUGGGAAGUACGGUCGCAAGGCUAAA